GGCAGACCUUCAGGGUAACAGGUCAGAGGAAGAACUACAAUGGCAUCUGCCAGCAUCUGUGUCAGCUGGCCUGUAGUAGAUCACCAUAAUGGCUGAUGCCAAUGUCUCAGUGCCUGAAGACAUCUCACCUCUCACCAAGAUGCACCCAGAGCCUUUCAGGAUCCAUGGAGAUGGAGAAAGAGGACUCCCCAAGGGAAGAAUGAAGGAGGGAAGUGGCCAAGGCCCCUGCCAGGACCUUUGCGUGUGUUAUUUCACUCCAGCCUCACCACCUGUGUCACCCCCGUAUUACAGAGGAAGAAAUGGUCUCAGAGAAGGUAUGAGUGUGGUGGGAGCUCAGCACCAAACCCUAUCACCUUCCUUCUGUCAGGCAGCUGUCAUCACCCCCACAGGCCUUUUCUUCACAGCUUGUUGUCAGGAGGCUGGCCAACAUCUUGGGAAGGUGAGAGAGGAAAUUGGGAGGCUGGGGCUGGAGGGAAUCCUGCCACCAGCGUUCUCUCUUCCCCUAGGUCUGAUGGAAAUAACACUGCUCCGGCACCCGGAGACCUGGCUGUGGCCCAGCCUCAGCUGCACGUCAGCGGCAUGGCCCUGGAGACGACCCUGUGGGAGGCGACUGUCUGCUACGGCGGAAGCCCGGGACACCCCUUCCUCGGGGAGCCUUUCCUUUCUCCUCUGGUGGCGAGGCUGAUGCCUCCUCCCUGACUUGGUGAGGACUGAGUGAAGUGGGAUAUGUGCUGUGCCUUGGAAACCGUCAAAUACUACCUAAAGUCUAGUGUCUUCAGUGAACUUCAGCCCCAUCCUGUGGCCUCCAGUUGUGUGAUACUAUCAGAUGGCCCCUUGCUGCUGGAGUGGAUGUUCUUGGCAAUGAAAAGAAGAAGUGGGGGCAAAGAUGAAGUAUGGGGCCUAGAUGCUUCUAGCAGUUUAGAUGGUGACUUCUCAGGAACUUGUUGUUAACUACUCUGCACCCCCUGCAUUGAUUAGAUUCUGGUUCUCUGGGGCCAGUUUCUUCCUGCUCUCUGGAGCCCCAGCUUCGCACCUGGCUGACUCACCUUUUGCACUGAGUUCAGCACUGGAGAUGGAGAGGGGUUGGGGAGGAGAGGAGAAAUUUUAGUGCUGUAUGAAUUCAGUUGGAAAAAUAAUCAUACAGGAUUUAAGCAAAUCUCAUAUUGCCCCUGGAAUGGUUUUAGGUUUUUUUAUAAAACCCAACCAGCGUCAGCUGAUGCCCCAUCUCUUCAAGGUCAAACAUUCCAAGAUUCUAGAGGGAGCAAAGCUGUGUUCCCAGAUUUGUCUAGAAGCCCUUUCUCCCCCCUCACCUUAACUGACGCCUGGAUGGUCCCCAUGAGGGAUUUCUUUUGCAGCCUCUCCCAAGCCUCCCAUUUGGAGAGUGGGGCUGCCCAGUUCCUUCUCUCCUGGUGUCACUUUGAGAUUACUGCUCAGAGGAACUCAUUCUUUUCUCAAGAGACUGUUUUCUUUUAAAGUUCACAAUGUUCAUUUUUUUCUUUGUGUGCUGCAAGGAGAACUCUGAUUCUGACUGAAAUUCUGCC
This 1541-nucleotide long non-coding RNA is filed under the name Equus caballus (horse). Its description in RNAcentral is "lncRNA (ENSECAG00000028692.3)". Lineage: Eukaryota; Metazoa; Chordata; Mammalia; Perissodactyla; Equidae. The record is from RNAcentral.